Molecule: ribosomal RNA, 557 nt
Filed under: uncultured bacterium
Lineage: Bacteria
Description: partial 16S ribosomal RNA
Rfam family: Bacterial small subunit ribosomal RNA
Source: RNAcentral
UGGGGAAUUUUGGACAAUGGGGGAAACCCUGAUCCAGCCAUCCCGCGUGUGCGAUGAAGGCCUUCGGGUUGUAAAGCACUUUUGGCAGGAAAGAAACGUCGCGGGUUAAUACCCCGCGAAACUGACGGUACCUGCAGAAUAAGCACCGGCUAACUACGUGCCAGCAGCCGCGGUAAUACGUAGGGUGCAAGCGUUAAUCGGAAUUACUGGGCGUAAAGCGUGCGCAGGCGGUUCGGAAAGAAAGAUGUGAAAUCCCAGAGCUUAACUUUGGAACUGCAUUUUUAACUACCGGGCUAGAGUGUGUCAGAGGGAGGUGGAAUUCCGCGUGUAGCAGUGAAAUGCGUAGAUAUGCGGAGGAACACCGAUGGCGAAGGCAGCCUCCUGGGAUAACACUGACGCUCAUGCACGAAAGCGUGGGGAGCAAACAGGAUUAGAUACCCUGGUAGUCCACGCCCUAAACGAUGUCAACUAGCUGUUGGGGGCCUUCGGGCCUUGGUAGCGCAGCUAACGCGUGAAGUUGACCGCCUGGGGGAGUACGGUCGCAAGAUUAAAAACUC